RNAcentral lists this unclassified non-coding RNA (485 nucleotides) under Harpegnathos saltator (Jerdon's jumping ant). RNAcentral's name for it is "uncharacterized LOC105180820, transcript variant X5". The record is from RNAcentral. Lineage: Eukaryota; Metazoa; Arthropoda; Insecta; Hymenoptera; Formicidae.
UCCGAUCAGUCGGCCGCAGACUGAGGUGCGGCUAACUUUUGAAAUUUGUACUGAAUUUUGUUAUCUUCAACAACUAUAAUUAAGCUUAGAAGAUGGAACAAAAUAUUAAGAUCAACAUUGCACAUAAUAUAAGACGCUUCCGAUCGCUACUCGCAGAUUCAUGGCGCACAUGACGUCUCACGCAAAGAAGUUAAUCGCUUAUCAGAUGCCGGCGAACGCCAGCUGCGGUCUGCUCUUUGCUUGUAGUAAUAUCUUUCGUCGAAUACAAACGAUAGCGAAAGUGAAUAGAUAAGGUGUUGCGGCAGGAAGUAUGAGAACUCCAACCUCGCACAAUUCCAACAGAUGCGUUAGCAAUUGUUAUCUCAUGUGAAAUGUCACGCCUAUAUAAGUGAUAAAGAAGCAGUAGGUAAUCGUUCAUUCUAUUCAACCUGCAUUUUCAAAUUUAUCCUGUAAAAAUUUUCCUAUAAAAAUUUAAUAAAUAUGAU